Molecule: transfer RNA, 66 nt
Filed under: Hydrotaea dentipes
Lineage: Eukaryota; Metazoa; Arthropoda; Insecta; Diptera; Muscidae
Description: tRNA-Leu
Source: RNAcentral
ACUAUUUUGGCAGAUUAGUGCAAUAAAUUUAGAAUUUAUUUAUGUAGAUUUUUACUACAGAUAGUA